Non-coding RNA from Lipotes vexillifer (Yangtze River dolphin), 73 nucleotides. NCBI's taxonomy places the organism in Eukaryota, Metazoa, Chordata, Mammalia, Artiodactyla, Lipotidae. The record is from the annotation of a RefSeq genome assembly.
UCCCUGGUGGUCCAGUGGUUAGGACUCCGUGCUCUGCUUGCUGAGGUCCCAGGUUCAAUACCUGGUUGGGGAA